GGAAUCUCUGGUGAGAAGAGAGAGAGAGAGAGAGAGAGAGAGAGAGAGAGAGAGAGAGAGAGAAGAUGGUGGGUGUGUCCUUGAAGGGAGAAGAACUACGGUGCUCUCGGAGCAGUGAUUGAGAAAUACCUCGUGCUCCGGGGGCCGACACAUACGCCGGUGGGAAACCGAAAUAUUCAUACUUCUGCACUCAGAUCGCCCGUUUUCCUUCAACCUCGUCGGCAACAUUUUUGAUGAUUGCAAUAAUAAUGAUCCUAAAUGAUAGAGAAGAGGAAAAUGAGAA
Non-coding RNA from Caenorhabditis elegans, 283 nucleotides. Lineage: Eukaryota; Metazoa; Nematoda; Chromadorea; Rhabditida; Rhabditidae. The record is from Ensembl.